ACACUCCAAAACUCUCAUAGCUCUGGGAAACCAGAGUUUAUGAAACCCUAUUCACAUUAGCGAACCCGGCGGGAAAUGCAGUGGCGGCCUUGCAAAAGGUCAAAGCUACAUUUCUUAGCUACUUUCUUUUGUCCAUUUUUUACUUUAAACCCCAAUCAUUUCUUUUAUGUCUGACUGGAAGACCUAGUCUUCCGUUGCUCUUUACUCUAACCGGUAGAGGCAAUGAAAACUACUUAAAAAAACAAAAAAA
RNAcentral lists this unclassified non-coding RNA (250 nucleotides) under soil metagenome. RNAcentral's name for it is "partial internal transcribed spacer 1". The record is from RNAcentral.